Molecule: ribosomal RNA, 454 nt
Filed under: uncultured bacterium
Lineage: Bacteria
Description: bacterial SSU rRNA
Rfam family: Bacterial small subunit ribosomal RNA
Source: RNAcentral
UACGGAAGGCAGCAGUGGGGAAUAUUGCACAAUGGGCGCAAGCCUGAUGCAGCCAUGCCGCGUGUAUGAAGAAGGCCUUCGGGUUGUAAAGUACUUUCAGCGGGGAGGAAGGCGGUGAAGUUAAUAGCUUCACCGAUUGACGUUACCCGCAGAAGAAGCACCGGCUAACUCCGUGCCAGCAGCCGCGGUAAUACGGAGGGUGCAAGCGUUAAUCGGAAUUACUGGGCGUAAAGCGCACGCAGGCGGUCUGUCAAGUCGGAUGUGAAAUCCCCGGGCUUAACCUGGGAACUGCAUUCGAAACUGGCAGGCUAGAGUCUUGUAGAGGGGGUAGAAUUCCAGGUGUAGCGGUGAAAUGCGUAGAGAUCUGGAGGAAUACCGGUGGCGAAGGCGGCCCCCUGGGACAAAGACUGACGCUCAGGUGCGAAAGCGUGGGGAGCAAACAGGAUUAGAUACC